UCGAGGAUCUUCGGCAAUGGGCGCAAGCCUGACCGAGCGACGCCGCGUGUGCGAUUGAAGGCCUUCGGGUUGUAAAGCACUGUCGAGGGGGAGGAACGCCCCGCAAGGGGUUUGACCUAUCCCUGGAGGAAGCACGGGCUAAGUUCGUGCCAGCAGCCGCGGUAAGACGAACCGUGCGAACGUUGUUCGGAAUCACUGGGCUUAAAGGGCGCGUAGGCGGGUCGUCAAGUCAGUGGUGAAAGCCUCCGGCCUAACCGGAGAAGGGCUGUUGAUACUGACGACCUCGAGGGGUGUAGGGGCCUGUGGAACUUCGGGUGGAGCGGUGAAAUGCGUAGAGAUCCGAAGGAACGCCGGUGGCGAAAGCUACGGGCUGGACACCCUCUGACGCUGAGGCGCGAAAGCCAGGGGAGCAAACGG
This 417-nucleotide ribosomal RNA is filed under the name uncultured bacterium. RNAcentral describes it as "bacterial SSU rRNA". It matches the Rfam family "Bacterial small subunit ribosomal RNA", at positions 355 to 775 of the family's 1533-position model. The record is from RNAcentral.